UACGAAGGGGGCUAGCGUUGUUCGGAAUUACUGGGCGUAAAGCGUAUGCAGGCGGAUCGUUAAGUCGGGGGUGAAAUCCCGAGGCUCAACCUCGGAACUGCCUUCGAUACUGGCGACCUUCGAGUCCGGGAGAGGUGAGUGGAACUCCGAGUGUAGAGGUGAAAUUCGUAGAUAUUAGGAAGAACACCAGUGGCGAAGGCGGCUCACUGGUCCGGUACUGACGCUGAGACGCGAAAGCGUGGGGAGCGAACAGG
This 254-nucleotide ribosomal RNA is filed under the name uncultured bacterium. RNAcentral describes it as "partial 16S ribosomal RNA". It matches the Rfam family "Bacterial small subunit ribosomal RNA", at positions 524 to 776 of the family's 1533-position model. The record is from RNAcentral.